CUACAGGCUUAACACAUGCAAGUCGAGGGGCAGCAUGGUCUUAGCUUGCUAAGGCCGAUGGCGACCGGCGCACGGGUGAGUAACACGUAUCCAACCUGCCGUCUACUCUUGGACAGCCUUCUGAAAGGAAGAUUAAUACAAGAUGGCAUCAUGAGUCCGCAUGUUCACAUGAUUAAAGGUAUUCCGGUAGACGAUGGGGAUGCGUUCCAUUAGAUAGUAGGCGGGGUAACGGCCCACCUAGUCUUCGAUGGAUAGGGGUUCUGAGAGGAAGGUCCCCCACAUUGGAACUGAGACACGGUCCAAACUCCUACGGGAGGCAGCAGUGAGGAAUAUUGGUCAAUGGGCGCAGGCCUGAACCAGCCAAGUAGCGUGAAGGAUGACUGCCCUAUGGGUUGUAAACUUCUUUUAUAAAGGAAUAAAGUCGGGUAUGUAUACCCGUUUGCAUGUACUUUAUGAAUAAGGAUCGGCUAACUCCGUGCCAGCAGCCGCGGUAAUACGGAGGAUCCGAGCGUUAUCCGGAUUUAUUGGGUUUAAAGGGAGCGUAGAUGGAUGUUUAAGUCAGUUGUGAAAGUUUGCGGCUCAACCGUAAAAUUGCAGUUGAUACUGGAUAUCUUGAGUGCAGUUGAGGCAGGCGGAAUUCGUGGUGUAGCGGUGAAAUGCUUAGAUAUCACGAAGAACUCCGAUUGCGAAGGCAGCCUGCUAAGCUGCAACUGACAUUGAG
This 721-nucleotide ribosomal RNA is filed under the name uncultured Bacteroidales bacterium. RNAcentral's name for it is "bacterial SSU rRNA". It matches the Rfam family "Bacterial small subunit ribosomal RNA", at positions 40 to 750 of the family's 1533-position model. The record is from RNAcentral. Lineage: Bacteria; Pseudomonadati; Bacteroidota; Bacteroidia; Bacteroidales.